Long non-coding RNA from Rosa rugosa (rugosa rose), 1264 nucleotides. RefSeq lists it as uncharacterized. Lineage: Eukaryota; Viridiplantae; Streptophyta; Magnoliopsida; Rosales; Rosaceae. The record is from RefSeq and is a predicted model, not a curated record. The transcript is spliced from 6 exons.
UUACAUCUCUUGAGACUCUACAUAUCUGGCUUUGCGAGAAUCUCAAGUAUCUACCUACACUAAAUGCUAUGAAAGGCCUCACCAAAUUGAAGAAGCUCUACAUUGAGGGAUGUCCCCUGCUCAAGGAAAGAUGCACCAAGGAGACUGGCCCAGAAUGGCUCAAGAUUUCUCACAUCCCAGAACUUGACUUGUGGUGAAGCUACGGAAUGCCUGCCAUACUAAACUAGAAUGCCUGGUCACAUUUCAAGAGGAAAAUGUAUUAUCGAUUGAUUUCAUUCAAGUUACAAGGUUAAUCAAUUCCUAUUUGCCAGAGAUUUAUCCCUAAAGCAGGGUUCUAUCAUACUUAAUGGGAAGAUCAGAUGAAGCUGAGUGGUUGAAGAUCCAGUCACAGUAGUUCAAUCACCUCUCCCAUAGUCCCAUGUGUUAAUUCAGCAGCAGAUAUGAGAAUGAGAAGUAUCCACCUCAAGUGGCAGCUAUGCAAACAAAAGAUGCACUGAGGACAACCGACAUGAGUGGCUGACUUCUUAUUUUCCAAGGGUCUGCAUUGAAGCAUUAACACCUCCCUAAAGUAGCACAGUUGUAACACCUUCCUGGGGUUCAAGUUUCAGGGGAAACAUGUGCAUUGAGUGUUUGAAAUUUCAGUUGUGCAUGAUUACUUCCGUUCAUGUUCUAAAUGCAACCAGUUCCUAAAAUCAUGGUAAGCUUUUCAAAUCUUUACCUCUUCUUCCCUCCUGGUGUUCCUCUUUAAUUUGAUUCACAAGUUUUCAAAUGCAUUGUACUCUGCUCUGUAUGCUAUUUACUUGCUACAAUUUUUCCCGGUUGUUUUGGCAUCAUUUGUAAUUUCUCACAAGGCCUCUCUAUCCUGAUCAAAUGGAAGAACAGCUUAGCUAGACCUGGUGCGAACUAAGUUCAGAUUGUCCCAAAGAUCAAGGAAUUGGAGCAUCCAAAAUGAUCUCAGGUGGCUGCUGUUUGGUUUGGUUCUUGCGAAGGCUGGUAACUUUGCGCUAUAUUGAGAACAAACUCCAUCUGCAUCUUGGAUAAGCCAUUUAGUCAAGCAUGCAUGGUUUCUAGAAUACUGCAAGUGAAUGGUCAGAAAAAGAAAAAAAAGUGAGAUCUCAGAAUUGCCAGGAGCAUAGGAAAGCAAAAUGUCAGUUUUGAAGAUGAGUUUUGAAAAUUUGAAAUCGCCAUGUUUUUCAUAUUGCUCAGUGUUCGUAAAAGUUAAUAGACAAGGCUAACUGGAUCCAACUCUGGAUUAAUUGGCAGA